RNAcentral lists this ribosomal RNA (446 nucleotides) under uncultured bacterium. RNAcentral's name for it is "partial 16S ribosomal RNA". It matches the Rfam family "Bacterial small subunit ribosomal RNA", at positions 329 to 792 of the family's 1533-position model. The record is from RNAcentral.
UUCCAGACUCCUACGGGAGGCAGCAGUGGGGAAUAUUGCACAAUGGGGGGAUCCCUGAUGCAGCGACGCCGCGUGGGUGAAGAAGUCAUUCGUGACGUAAAGCCCUAUCAGCAGGGAAGAAAAUGACGGUAUCUGACUAAGAAGCCCCGGCUAACUACGUGCCAGCAGCCGCGGUAAUACGUAGGGGGCAAGCGUUAUCCGGAUUUACUGGGUGUAAAGGGGGCGCAGACGGCAUCGCAAGCCAGGAGUGAAAGCCCGGGGCCCAACCCCGGGACUGCUCUUGGAACUGCGCGGCUGGAGUGCAGGAGGGGCAGGCGGAAUUCCUGGUGUAGCGGUGAAAUGCGUAGAUAUCAGGAGGAACACCGGUGGCGAAGGCGGCCUGCUGGACUGCGACUGACGUUGAGGCCCGAAAGCGUGGGGAGCAAACAGGAUUAGAUACCCCAGUA